GCGCGGGCUUCGGCCUGGCGGCGAGUGGCGGACGGGUGAGUAAUGCUUGGGAAUCUGCCCAGUAGUGGGGGACAACACGGGGAAACCCGUGCUAAUACCGCAUACGUCCUACGGGAGAAAGCAGGGGAUCUUCGGACCUUGCGCUAUUGGAUGAGCCCAAGUCGGAUUAGCUAGUUGGUAGGGUAAUGGCCUACCAAGGCAACGAUCCGUAGCUGGUCUGAGAGGACGAUCAGCCACACCGGAACUGAGACACGGUCCGGACUCCUACGGGAGGCAGCAGUGGGGAAUAUUGGACAAUGGGGGCAACCCUGAUCCAGCAAUGCCGCGUGUGUGAAGAAGGCCUUCGGGUUGUAAAGCACUUUGGACGGGGAAGAAGGGUUGAAGUUUAAGAGACAUCAAUUUUGACGGUACCCGUAGAACAAGCACCGGCUAACUCUGUGCCAGCAGCCGCGGUAAUACAGAGGGUGCAAGCGUUAAUCGGAAUUACUGGGCGUAAAGGGCGCGUAGGCGGUUAAUUAAGUGAGAUGUGAAAUCCCCGGGCUUAACCUGGGCACUGCAUCUUAAACUGGUUAGCUAGAGUACUGUAGAGGGUAGUGGAAUUUCCGGUGUAGCGGUGAAAUGCGUAGAGAUCGGAAGGAACACCAGUGGCGAAGGCGGCUACCUGGACAGAUACUGACGCUGAGGCGCGAAAGCGUGGGGAGCAAACAGGAUUAGAUACCCUGGUAGUCCACGCUGUAAACGAUGAGAACUAGAUGUUGGUUGG
Molecule: ribosomal RNA, 763 nt
Filed under: uncultured Pseudomonadota bacterium
Lineage: Bacteria; Pseudomonadati; Pseudomonadota
Description: bacterial SSU rRNA
Rfam family: Bacterial small subunit ribosomal RNA
Source: RNAcentral